GACGAACGCUGGCGGCGUGCUUAACACAUGCAAGUCGAACGGAAAGGCCCUGCUUUUGUGGGGUGAUCGAGUGGCGAACGCGUGCGUAACACGUGAGUAACCUGCCCUUGACUUUGGGAUAACUUAACGAAACUGGGGCUACUACCGUAUCGCAGCUCCUGUUGCAUGGUGGGCGUUGGAUCGUUUCUGCGGGUGGGGUUGGACUGGCGGGUUAUGAGCUUGUUGGUUGGGUAGUGGCUUACCAAGGGUUUGACGGGUCGCCGGCCGGAGAGGGGGAACGGCGACAAUGGGACUGAGAGACGGACCAGACGCCUACGGGAGACAGCAGGGGGGAAUAUUGCCCAACCAGAGGAAGUCGGAUGCAGCAACGCUGCGGGCGGGAUGACGGCCUGUUGGGUGAAAAACGCUUCAGCCUGUGACGAAGCGGGAGUGACGGUAAUGGAUGAAGAAGCACCGGCUAACUACGUG
Molecule: ribosomal RNA, 468 nt
Filed under: uncultured bacterium
Lineage: Bacteria
Description: partial 16S ribosomal RNA
Rfam family: Bacterial small subunit ribosomal RNA
Source: RNAcentral